AUGGGGAAACCCAGUGUGUUUCGACACACUAUCAUUAACUGAAUCCAUAGGUUAAUGAGGCGAACCGGGGGAACUGAAACAUCUAAGUACCCCGAGGAAAAGAAAUCAACCGAGAUUCCCCCAGUAGCGGCGAGCGAACGGGGAGGAGCCCAGAGCCUGAAUCAGUGUGUGUGUUAGUGGAAGCGUCUGGAAAGGCGCGCGAUACAGGGUGACAGCCCCGUACACAAAAAUGCACAUAUUGUGAGCUCGAUGAGUAGGGCGGGACACGUGGUAUCCUGUCUGAAUAUGGGGGGACCAUCCUCCAAGGCUAAAUACUCCUGACUGACCGAUAGUGAACCAGUACCGUGAGGGAAAGGCGAAAAGAACCCCGGCGAGGGGAGUGAAAAAGAACCUGAAACCGUGUACGUACAAGCAGUGGGAGCCUCUUUAUGGGGUGACUGCGUACCUUUUGUAUAAUGGGUCAGCGACUUAUAUUCUGUAGCAAGGUUAACCGAAUAGGGGAGCCGAAGGGAAACCGAGUCUUAACUGGGCGUUAAGUUGCAGGGUAUAGACCCGAAACCCGGUGAUCUAGCCAUGGGCAGGUUGAAGGUUGGGUAACACUAACUGGAGGACCGAACCGACUAAUGUUGAAAAAUUAGCGGAUGACUUGUGGCUGGGGGUGAAAGGCCAAUCAAACCGGGAGAUAGCUGGUUCUCCCCGAAAGCUAUUUAGGUAGCGCCUCGUGAAUUCAUCUCCGGGGGUAGAGCACUGUUUCGGCAAGGGGGUCAUCCCGACUUACCAACCCGAUGCAAACUGCGAAUACCGGAGAAUGUUAUCACGGGAGACACACGGCGGGUGCUAACGUCCGUCGUGAAGAGGGAAACAACCCAGACCGCCAGCUAAGGUCCCAAAGUCAUGGUUAAGUGGGAAACGAUGUGGGAAGGCCCAGACAGCCAGGAUGUUGGCUUAGAAGCAGCCAUCAUUUAAAGAAAGCGUAAUAGCUCACUGGUCGAGUCGGCCUGCGCGGAAGAUGUAACGGGGCUAAACCAUGCACCGAAGCUGCGGCAGCGACACUAUGUGUUGUUGGGUAGGGGAGCGUUCUGUAAGCCUGUGAAGGUGGCCUGUGAGGGUUGCUGGAGGUAUCAGAAGUGCGAAUGCUGACAUAAGUAACGAUAAAGCGGGUGAAAAGCCCGCUCGCCGGAAGACCAAGGGUUCCUGUCCAACGUUAAUCGGGGCAGGGUGAGUCGACCCCUAAGGCGAGGCCGAAAGGCGUAGUCGAUGGGAAACAGGUUAAUAUUCCUGUACUUGGUGUUACUGCGAAGGGGGGACGGAGAAGGCUAUGUUGGCCGGGCGACGGUUGUCCCGGUUUAAGCGUGUAGGCUGGUUUUCCAGGCAAAUCCGGAAAACCAAGGCUGAGGCGUGAUGACGAGGCACUACGGUGCUGAAGCGACAAAUGCCCUGCUUCCAGGAAAAGCCUCUAAGCAUCAGGUAACAUCAAAUCGUACCCCAAACCGACACAGGUGGUCAGGUAGAGAAUACCAAGGCGCUUGAGAGAACUCGGGUGAAGGAACUAGGCAAAAUGGUGCCGUAACUUCGGGAGAAGGCACGCUGAUAUGUAGGUGAAGCGACUUGCUCGUGGAGCUGAAAUCAGUCGAAGAUACCAGCUGGCUGCAACUGUUUAUUAAAAACACAGCACUGUGCAAACACGAAAGUGGACGUAUACGGUGUGACGCCUGCCCGGUGCCGGAAGGUUAAUUGAUGGGGUUAGCGGUAACGCGAAGCUCUUGAUCGAAGCCCCGGUAAACGGCGGCCGUAACUAUAACGGUCCUAAGGUAGCGAAAUUCCUUGUCGGGUAAGUUCCGACCUGCACGAAUGGCGUAAUGAUGGCCAGGCUGUCUCCACCCGAGACUCAGUGAAAUUGAACUCGCUGUGAAGAUGCAGUGUACCCGCGGCAAGACGGAAAGACCCCGUGAACCUUUACUAUAGCUUGACACUGAACAUUGAGCCUUGAUGUGUAGGAUAGGUGGGAGGCUUUGAAGUGUGGACGCCAGUCUGCAUGGAGCCGACCUUGAAAUACCACCCUUUAAUGUUUGAUGUUCUAACGUUGGCCCGUAAUCCGGGUUGCGGACAGUGUCUGGUGGGUAGUUUGACUGGGGCGGUCUCCUCCUAAAGAGUAACGGAGGAGCACGAAGGUUGGCUAAUCCUGGUCGGACAUCAGGAGGUUAGUGCAAUGGCAUAAGCCAGCUUGACUGCGAGCGUGACGGCGCGAGCAGGUGCGAAAGCAGGUCAUAGUGAUCCGGUGGUUCUGAAUGGAAGGGCCAUCGCUCAACGGAUAAAAGGUACUCCGGGGAUAACAGGCUGAUACCGCCCAAGAGUUCAUAUCGACGGCGGUGUUUGGCACCUCGAUGUCGGCUCAUCACAUCCUGGGGCUGAAGUAGGUCCCAAGGGUAUGGCUGUUCGCCAUUUAAAGUGGUACGCGAGCUGGGUUUAGAACGUCGUGAGACAGUUCGGUCCCUAUCUGCCGUGGGCGCUGGAGAACUGAGGGGGGCUGCUCCUAGUACGAGAGGACCGGAGUGGACGCAUCACUGGUGUUCGGGUUGUCAUGCCAAUGGCACUGCCCGGUAGCUAAAUGCGGAAGAGAUAAGUGCUGAAAGCAUCUAAGCACGAAACUUGCCCCGAGAUGAGUUCUCCCUGAGACUUAGAGUCUCCUGAAGGAACGUUGAAGACGACGACGUUGAUAGGCCGGGUGUGUAAGCGCAGCGAUGCGUUGAGCUAACCGGUACUAAUGAACCGUGAGGCUUAACCUU
This 2786-nucleotide ribosomal RNA is filed under the name Escherichia coli. RNAcentral describes it as "partial 23S ribosomal RNA". It matches the Rfam family "Bacterial large subunit ribosomal RNA". The record is from RNAcentral. Lineage: Bacteria; Pseudomonadati; Pseudomonadota; Gammaproteobacteria; Enterobacterales; Enterobacteriaceae.